AUGGGAAGUCGGGAAGCCUCCGGUCAGCAGGGGGAAGGCAGGUGGAGUUUCAGAGUCAAUUUAAAGAGCCCCAUGCUGGGCGUGCACUUGGGGCCCAGGGCUGCCUUCAGAGAGGACGCCGGCUUCCCGGGGGAAUUAGAGGCGUCCUCCCGCCCUCCCGCCUCGAGAGGCAGGAAUGCGAAGGAUCAGCUUUCAGCAAAGCUGCGGCUGCCUUUCCGGGGAGCUCCCGGUGCAGGCCCUUCCCGAGCGGCCGAAUUAACUGGUUCUGUCUGUCCAACUGGGAGAACAGCUCCAGCUAAAAAUAGCGCCCUGCCCUGCGCUGGUCGCCGGGAGCCGGGGCCGCGACCGUGGGAGUCCGGGCCGCGACAGUCCAAGGAGCCCGGGGAGUCCCGGACGCUCCACCCCGGGCCUGGCCCAGUCCCACCCCCGAGGCCGCGGCGGAGACCGCCGGCACAGCGCUGUCCCCACAGGUGCCGGGGAGGGUGGAAGGCCAGCGGGCGGAGGAGCGGCUGCGGCCGUCCGGGAUGGGAGCCGGCGGGGCGGCCUCCCGCGCGCUGGCCUGGGCCUCCCUGCCCCUGCUGGGGCCUCCGGCCGGCGCGCUCUGCGAGGACACGCUUUGCUGCCGAGGUAAGGCAGGGCCGGCUGCCGACGCGCCCCCGCUCUUCCCCGGCACUUGCUGGCGCCCCUUUCUCCUUCCCCACCCCAGGUCCGCGGCGGGGGGCGAGCGAAGGGAGAACCCAGGCGUCCGCGCCGGGCUCUGGGAGUGGAGCCAGGCGCUCUCUGCAAACUCACCUUUCGUUUGAAAAAAUCGCAAUCUCGCCACCACGACCGAGAAGCGUUCGCCUCCCUUUGGCCUCUCAGUCUUCCCAUCUGGAAAAUGGAACAAUAAAAUCGUCAAGCUUUAAUAUUUGUUGUGACCCCAAGAGAAGUUGGGGAACCCGCUGCAGCCGAUCGCAAGCGUCCUGGAGAAGUUUCCCCGAAUCCAGAUGGGGUUCUCGAGGGUUUAUGAUGGUGGGGGGGCCUGGAAGUGCCUUCCCCGUGGCCUUCCCUCACCCUGCCGUCCUGUUCCAGAGCUCAGCACCUAGCAUCAGCCCGCGGCCCCCGCCGUCGGAGAUCGAGGCAAGCUCGCCGCGAAAUUUAAUGGGCCGGAGGACGCGCGAAAAUCCUUGUGGGAGAAGAAGGUGUAGAGUAGAAGAGGGGUGA
This 1203-nucleotide long non-coding RNA is filed under the name Zalophus californianus (California sea lion). RNAcentral's name for it is "lncRNA (ENSZCAG00015008969.1)". The record is from RNAcentral. Lineage: Eukaryota; Metazoa; Chordata; Mammalia; Carnivora; Otariidae.